UACAGAGGUCUCAAGCGAUGUUCGGAUUCAUUGGGCGUAAAGGGUGCGUAGGCGGCGCGGUAAGUCGGGUGUGAAAUCUCGGAGCUUAACUCCGAAACUGCAUUCGAUACUGCCGUGCUUGAGGACUGGAGAGGAGACUGGAAUUUACGGUGUAGCGGUGAAAUGCGUAGAUAUCGUAAGGAAGACCAGUGGCGAAGGCGGGUCUCUGGACAGUUCCUGACGCUGAGGCACGAAGGUCAGGGGAGCAAACGGG
Molecule: ribosomal RNA, 253 nt
Filed under: uncultured bacterium
Lineage: Bacteria
Description: partial 16S ribosomal RNA
Rfam family: Bacterial small subunit ribosomal RNA
Source: RNAcentral